GCCUACGGGGCGCAGCAGUGAGGAAUAUUGGUCAAUGGCCGAGAGGCUGAACCAGCCAAGUCGCGUGAGGGAAGACGGCCCUACGGGUUGUAAACCUCUUUUGUCGGGGAGCAAAGCGAACCACGUGUGGUUCAUUGAGAGUACCCGAAGAAAAAGCAUCGGCUAACUCCGUGCCAGCAGCCGCGGUAAUACGGAGGAUGCGAGCGUUAUCCGGAUUUAUUGGGUUUAAAGGGUGCGUAGGCGGAAUAUCAAGUCAGCGGUAAAAAUUCGGGGCUUAACCCCGUCGUGCCGUUGAAACUGAUGUU
This 305-nucleotide ribosomal RNA is filed under the name uncultured bacterium. RNAcentral's name for it is "bacterial SSU rRNA". It matches the Rfam family "Bacterial small subunit ribosomal RNA", at positions 337 to 640 of the family's 1533-position model. The record is from RNAcentral.